Molecule: long non-coding RNA, 3129 nt
Organism: Prionailurus viverrinus (fishing cat)
Lineage: Eukaryota; Metazoa; Chordata; Mammalia; Carnivora; Felidae
Exons: 3
Source: RefSeq, a predicted model, not a curated record
CAGCUGGGAACACCGGGAGCCCUGGUUAUUUAUGGUCCCUGUCAGGUGGAAGGAGGGGAAAAAAAGAGCCAGAGGGAGGGCCUGCCCUUGAGCCGAGGUGCUGAAACUGUGGGGCUGCGGGAAGCCACAGCGAUUCCAGAAGCUCUCCGAGAAGCGCCUGAGAGUACAUGGAUCCCCACUGCUUUUUGUCAAGAGUUGGAAGAAAGGAGCAGAAGGAAAAAGCAAGGGUUGAAAGUUGUUUUCCCAUCUGUCUGGAGAUAAGAAUCAUAAAGAAAUUUCCUUAAGGUGAAGAGGUCGUGUGUGUGGCAGAGGCUCUUCUGUGUUAGGCUGGAGGCCCAGCUCAGGACUCCAUUACCUUCGGGAAGGGGUGGAGGCUCCGGGAGAGGCUGCAGCCCCAGGCCAGGUAAAGAACAGAGCUCCCUCCCUCAGCCUGGAAGCAGCAGAUGCUGGGCCUUCCCUUGAGCUUUUUGUUUUCCAGCAUCUCCUAGCAAUGGUACUAGGUUCUUUCAAAACAGUUUACCAACUACAUUCUGGAAUAUAUAUAAUGCUUUCUUGCUUUCCUUCUCAAAAUAUGUGAGAACAAUGGGUAAGUUGAGACAACAGUUAGAUGAGCAGUGGGUGAAAUAGGUGGUCUUAAGAAGGCUAAGGAAGUGUGUGUCAUUAAGGGGUUCAUGUACUUCUUGUGGGAAGCCAUGUGCCACACUCUGCCUGCUUUUUCCCAAGCUCUAGGUGUUCAUAAGAGCCAGCCUUCCCAGGUGGCCAAAGAGAAAUCAGGCUUGACUGGCAAAGUUUGCACAUCUCUUAACCAACAAGAACAAGUUGCUGUUAUCCCACAGAACAAAUGACUCUUUCUGCUCAGGCUAGUUUUUUGUUUUGUUUUGUUUUGUUUUGUUUUAAAGAGUAAACAAAGUCCAUUUGAUUCUUUACUCUCAAACAUUAUUCUAUUCUUUGUGGCUAGAUGUGCUUCUUUUUAAAAACUGGAUCACAGUUUUUAAACUGUUCCUUAAUCCAAGCUAGAUAUAGUUUCUAAAUAAGCAUGCAUGACUCAGUCUUGGAACUCUUCCAGAUGUAGCAAUGAAAAAUGUCCCCUGUGAUCUUGGUUGGGUUAAUAAACAAACUCAUCCCAGAAAGGAAAACGAUUUCAGUGUCCUUCCUGUGAAGAGGUAGAAAAAGACAAUGUUGGGACAGACACUAUAACUUUUUCAUAUUCUUAUCAUUCUUAUCAAUAUACCUUAACUCUCAUCCAGAAACUGCCCUCUGUCCUCUCAGUAAGAUGACACUGACUUGGUCACAUAAACUUCUGAGACUAGAGACAGAAAGCAGGUAGAAAGAAGUACAAGGUUACUUACCCUGUUCUCAUUAUCUAAAAUCUAUGCUCCUUGUAAAGAAGACUAGACAAUGAAUAAAUCACUAGCCACAAACUAGCCCAGUGAAAUCAGGCACUAAAAUGUUGGUUCUCACUUAGAGAGAAACUAGGUAGCUUAAUUCAAGGUGGUCAUGUCCAUCAUGCCAAUUGAUUCUUUCCUCUAUUUAUUCUUUGUUGGCUAUUUGUCUAGCUUCAACCCAAAAUCCAGACCUCAGUAGUGACAGCUGUUCCUUACUUACGUGUGUAAGGACAGUGUGUGCACAACAGGAACAUAUUCACUGUCCUAGGAAUAAAGGAGUAUCAGGAGCUCAUAUGCUUUGUGAGCAAGCAUUUGGCCUCUUCUGCAUGUUAUAUAUAUUUCCUACCUCCACCUGAAAUAUGUGUGUUUAAAAGGUAAAGACAGGUGGGGUCUGCUGUCAGUUGUCCUCAUUUUGGUUCUGGCCCAGGUGGUCAAAGCACCCCUUCCCGUGUGUAGCAUCUUGCCUUGCUUCUCCACAUCCUCCUAUUCCCAACUCUCUGCACUGCCCUGCCUUCCCUUCCCUGUCCAUUCCCAGUGCUGAUGGUCUGCUUUUUUCUCUCUGCAGCAUGGUUCCCAACGUGAAAGGAAAGGGUUAGGGGUGGUCAGAUUAGGACCCACUUCCAUAAGAAGCAGGUCAGACUUUCCAGGUAGAUGGGCAAGGACUAAAAUAAUUGGAGGGUGGGAGAAGAAAGCAUAUUCAAAAUUACAACUUGUUUUGGCCAGAUGAAAAAAACACCUAUUGUCCUUAACCAAUAAGCAUGCUUAAUUCCCAGCCAUCAAUCCUUGUGUCUGUUUUAUUCCACAGGCCACUCCAGCUACUCAUCCUGUCACGACUUCUUGGGAGAAAAAGUGCCCACACUCCAUUAGAACUACUCUAUUCUGUGUCUAUAUCCACAAUGUCAUGUCAUGGAGGCGGCAGCUGCCUGAGAUCCCCAGGGAUCCCCAGAUUACCUGUGCUCAGCUGACUGGACCCUGUCAGGGAAUCUCCCGCCUUUUCUGGUUUUCUUCCUCAUUGCUCUCCCUCCAUAUCCCUUGGCAUUCCUCUUUCUCUGUACAUGAGAAUGUGCCUGGAGUUUUCUAGAACUGAUUCUCAUCCUCCCUAUGACAUUUCCCGGGGUCCUCAUUCAGGCCGGUGCUUGGUUUCCCGAGCCCCAUUGUGCUGAGUUCUUCUGUGAAGCCCUCUGCUUUCCUGUCUCUCUCUCUCUCUCUCUAAGUUUUAUUUAUUUAAGUUAUCUCUACACCCAUGUGGGGCUCAAACUCAUGAUCCAAGAUCAAGAGUCGCAUGCUCUUCCAACUGAGCCAGCUAGGUGCCCCAUCUCUGACACUUUCUGCACUUAGAACACCUCUUUCCACCUGCCCCCAAAUUUCUGCUUGUCCACAUUCUAUCUAUUCCUUGAAAUGCUUUCUUCCUGAGGCCUUUAGUAUCUCUCAUUCUUUUGAAUUUCCUUGUCACUUUUAUCACUUUUAUCUAUUUUUUUCUGUCGCAUCUAAUUUGAGUAGAAAGAGUAAAAAAACCAAAUUCAAAUUCCAGUUUCUUUGACUAUGUGAACCUGAACAAAUAUCUUAAACCCUCUGAGCCCCAGAUUCCUUAACAUAAAUUACAACAAAUAACACUUUAGAUUAAGAGUAAAUGUAAUUUAGGGGCACCUGGGUGGCUCAGUAGGUUAAGCGUCCAACUUCAGCUCAGGUCAUGAUCUCACGGCUCAUGGAUUCGAACCCCGCACCAGGCUCUGUGCUCAGAGCC